UUAUUAUGAGAGUUUGAUCCUGGCUCAGGACGAACGCUGGCGGCGUGCCUAAUACAUGCAAGUCGAACGCUUCUUUCCUCCCGAGUGCUUGCACUCAAUUGGAAAGAGGAGUGGCGGACGGGUGAGUAACACGUGGGUAACCUACCCAUCAGAGGGGGAUAACACUUGGAAACAGGUGCUAAUACCGCAUAACAGUUUAUGCCGCAUGGCAUAAGAGUGAAAGGCGCUUUCGGGUGUCGCUGAUGGAUGGACCCGCGGUGCAUUAGCUAGUUGGUGAGGUAACGGCUCACCAAGGCCACGAUGCAUAGCCGACCUGAGAGGGUGAUCGGCCACACUGGGACUGAGACACGGCCCAGACUCCUACGGGAGGCAGCAGUAGGGAAUCUUCGGCAA
This 393-nucleotide ribosomal RNA is filed under the name Enterococcus faecalis. RNAcentral's name for it is "bacterial SSU rRNA". It matches the Rfam family "Bacterial small subunit ribosomal RNA", at positions 1 to 371 of the family's 1533-position model. Lineage: Bacteria; Bacillati; Bacillota; Bacilli; Lactobacillales; Enterococcaceae. The record is from RNAcentral.